Molecule: ribosomal RNA, 468 nt
Filed under: uncultured bacterium
Lineage: Bacteria
Description: partial 16S ribosomal RNA
Rfam family: Bacterial small subunit ribosomal RNA
Source: RNAcentral
GACGAACGCUGGCGGCGUGCUUAACACAUGCAAGUCGAACGGAAAGGCCCUGCUUUUGUGGGGUGCUCGAGUGGCGAACGGGUGAGUAACACGUGAGUAACCUGCCCUUGACUUUGGGAUAACUUCAGGAAACUGGGGCUAAUACCGGAUAGGAGCUCCUGCUGCAUGGUGGGGGUUGGAAAGUUUCGGCGGUUGGGGAUGGACUCGCGGCUUAUCAGCUUGUUGGUGGGGUAGUGGCUUACCAAGGCUUUGACGGGUAGCCGGCCCGAGAGGGUGACCGGCCACAUUGGGACUGAGAUACGGCCCAGACUCCUACGGGAGGCAGCAGUGGGGAAUAUUGCACAAUGGGCGGAAGCCUGAUGCAGCAACGCCGCGUGCGGGAUAACGGCCUUCGGGUUGUAAACCGCUUUCGCCUGUGACGAAGCGUGAGUGACGGUAAUGGGUAAAGAAGCACCGGCUAACUACGUG